CCCGCACUUUUUCUGAUAAUGCAUUUUAGAAAACUGUAGAUGACACUACAAGUGAAUGAGCCCCUACCACUGACAUGGGAAACAAAGUCGCAAUUUUGGGCUCCAGGUUUUAGAAAGGCUAAGUCCUAGAUGUUGUAGGCACUUGGGAUGUCUGGGGCUGUCAAUCAAAGGUGGAAAUCUCCCUUUGUCACCUUUUCUGUCCAUCUCUACAUUUCUCUUUCUCUCACCCCUUCUCUCACUGUCACUAUUCCAAUGUUAUUCAAAUAGUUAAAAAUGAACCAAUGGUUAUUUAAAAGUGAAGGACAUGCUAACACUGGAUUAUUAAGGGUACACACAUAUUAAAAUGAAACAAGGUCAUUGCCUUCAAUUGUUUAAACAACGUAAAGAUUUAUAUGAUCUGAAUCCUAUCAUAGCCAUCAACCUACACCACAGGACACCACAUCUGCCCUGGGCACUGUCCUGUCUGAGGCGUCUGACCCCCUGCCUGCUAUAUAGGGGCAGCACAUGCAAAUAGGGCCCACUCUGCCCAUGAAAACCAGCCCAGCCCUCACCCUGCAGCUCUGGCACAAGAGCUCCAGCCCCAGGACUCCCAGGUGUCCACUCAGUGAUCGCACUCAACACAGAUGCUCACCAUGGAGACUGGGCUCUGCUGGCUUCUCCUGGUCGCUGUGCUCAAAGGUGUCCAGUGUCAGGAGCAGCUGGUGGAGUCCGGGGGAGGCCUGGUCCAGCCUGAGGGAAUGCCUGACACUCUGCUGCAAAGCCUCUGGAAUCAUCUUCAGUAGCAAUGCAAUGUGCUGGGUCCACCAGGCUCCAGGGAAGGGGCUGGAGUCGAUCGCAUAAAUUAAUUCUGGUGGUAGCACAAACUACUCGACCUGGCGAAUGGCCGAUUCACCAUCUCCAGAAACACCAACCAGAACACGGAGUGUUCACCCUGUAGCUCUGGCACAGGAGCUCCAGCCCCAGGACUCCCAGGUCCCAAAAUUGCUUUUUGAACUCAAAGUGACAUUGGGAGACUUGUCCUAAAG
Molecule: long non-coding RNA, 1025 nt
Filed under: Oryctolagus cuniculus (rabbit)
Lineage: Eukaryota; Metazoa; Chordata; Mammalia; Lagomorpha; Leporidae
Description: lncRNA (ENSOCUG00000036746.1)
Source: RNAcentral